CAGGCCUAACACAUGCAAGUCGAACGGGAUCUUCGGAUCUAGUGGCGGACGGGUGAGUAACGCGUGGGAACGUACCCUUUGGUUCGGAAUAGCCUCGGGAAACUGGGAGUAAUACCGGAUACGGUCGAGAGACGAAAGAUUUAUCGCCGAAGGAUCGGCCCGCGUUGGAUUAGGUAGUUGGUGGGGUAAUGGCCUACCAAGCCGACGAUCCAUAGCUGGUUUGAGAGGAUGAUCAGCCACACUGGGACUGAGACACGGCCCAGACUCCUACGGGAGGCAGCAGUGGGGAAUCUUAGACAAUGGGGGAAACCCUGAUCUAGCCAUGCCGCGUGAGCAUGAAGGCCUUAGGGUUGUAAAGCUCUUUCAGUGGGGAAGAUAAUGACUGUACCCACAGAAGAAGCCCCGGCUAACUCCGUGCCAGCAGCCGCGUAAUACGGAGGGGGCUAGCGUUGUUCGGAAUUACUGGGCGUAAAGCGCACGUAGGCGGACCGGAAAGUCAGAGGUGAAAUCCCAGGGCUCAACCCUUGGAACUGCAUUU
This 538-nucleotide ribosomal RNA is filed under the name uncultured Pseudomonadota bacterium. Its description in RNAcentral is "bacterial SSU rRNA". It matches the Rfam family "Bacterial small subunit ribosomal RNA", at positions 43 to 628 of the family's 1533-position model. Lineage: Bacteria; Pseudomonadati; Pseudomonadota. The record is from RNAcentral.